RNAcentral lists this long non-coding RNA (650 nucleotides) under Mus musculus (house mouse). RNAcentral's name for it is "predicted gene, 57241". Lineage: Eukaryota; Metazoa; Chordata; Mammalia; Rodentia; Muridae. The record is from RNAcentral.
AGGGGGAGGGGGAGGAGGAGGAGGAGGGGGAGGGGGAGGGGGAGCCUCUUCAAACUUGUCUGGCUCUAUCUGGGGUGGAGGAGGAGGAGGAGGUGGUGGUGGAGGUGGAGGUGGCGGCGGCGGUGGCGGUGGCUGUUCUUCAACCGUGGGUGGUGGAUCCUCAACCUUGGGUGGAGGUGGUCUGAUCACUGUAGAGAGAGAGCAGAGAGUUCAGAAGGGAGGUGGUGAACUGGGUCCCUCACAUAAGACGUGGGGAUGGUGAGACACCUCAGUGGGUGCUUGUCCCAGAGGCGUGUGACCUGAGUGUCAAUCCUGGACACCACAUGGUAGAAACAAAAACAACUUCCAUAAAUUGUCCUGUGACCUUUAUCUUCACACGCACACAAAGUGUGAAAAAGCAGUCUUUACCAUACAGAAACCAGUGGGCUUUGAGCCCCUAGGGGCCAACUAUGGGUUGGUUCUUUUCCAAACCCUCUGAGCCAGAGAACAAGCAAGAGCCCUGAGGGUAAGGUAUGUGAACUUCUGUUUCAGCAUGCAUGUGUGCGUGUAUGCGUGUGUGUCUGUAUGUCUGUGUGUUUAGCGGUAACAUGAGGGUCUAUUUUUUGUGCUAGUUUCUUAUACUGUGAAAUACAGAUGAAACAUUCCACACA